RNAcentral lists this ribosomal RNA (434 nucleotides) under uncultured bacterium. RNAcentral's name for it is "partial 16S ribosomal RNA". It matches the Rfam family "Bacterial small subunit ribosomal RNA", at positions 29 to 507 of the family's 1533-position model. The record is from RNAcentral.
AGCGAACGCUGGCGGCAGGCCUAACACAUGCAAGUCGAACGAACCUUUGGGGGUUAGUGGCGGACGGGUGAGUAACACGUGGGAACGUGCCUUUAGGUUCGGAAUAACUCAGGGAAACUUGUGCUAAUACCGAAUGUGCCCUUCGGGGGAAAGAUUAAUCGCCUUUAGAGCGGCCCGCGUCUGAUUAGCUAGUUGGUUGAGGUAAUGGCUCACCAAGGCGACGAUCAGUAGCUGGUCUGAGAGGAUGAUCAGCCACAUUGGGACUGAGACACGGCCCAAACUCCUACGGGAGGCAGCAGUGGGGAAUCUUGCGCAAUGGGCGAAAGCCUGACGCAGCCAUGCCGCGUGAAUGAUGAAGGUCUUAGGAUUGUAAAAUUCUUUCACCGGGGACGAUAAUGACGGUACCCGGAGAAGAAGCCCCGGCUAACUUCGUG